This 73-nucleotide transfer RNA is filed under the name Fasciola hepatica (liver fluke). Its description in RNAcentral is "tRNA-Val". The stretch from base 8 to 67 matches the Rfam family "tRNA", at positions 7 to 64 of the family's 71-position model. From Rfam's summary of the family: Transfer RNA (tRNA) molecules are approximately 80 nucleotides in length. The record is from RNAcentral. Lineage: Eukaryota; Metazoa; Platyhelminthes; Trematoda; Plagiorchiida; Fasciolidae.
GUCUUGGAUAGCCUUGUGGUUGGGGCGUUCGACUCACAAUCGUUCAUCCCGGGGUUUGAGUCCCCGUGAGAUU